CGAGUGGCGGACGGGUGAGUAAUGUCUGGGAAACUGCCUGAUGGAGGGGGAUAACUACCGGAAACGGUAGCUAAUACCGCAUAACGUCGCAAGACCAAAGAGGGGGACCUUAGGGCCUCUUGCCAUCGGAUGUGCCCAGAUGGGAUUAGCUAGUAGGUGGGGUAAAGGCUCACCUAGGCGACGAUCCCUAGCUGGUCUGAGAGGAUGACCAGCCACACUGGAACUGAGACACGGUCCAG
RNAcentral lists this ribosomal RNA (239 nucleotides) under uncultured bacterium. Its description in RNAcentral is "partial 16S ribosomal RNA". It matches the Rfam family "Bacterial small subunit ribosomal RNA", at positions 92 to 334 of the family's 1533-position model. The record is from RNAcentral.